This 400-nucleotide ribosomal RNA is filed under the name uncultured bacterium. RNAcentral describes it as "bacterial SSU rRNA". It matches the Rfam family "Bacterial small subunit ribosomal RNA", at positions 355 to 772 of the family's 1533-position model. The record is from RNAcentral.
UGGGGAAUAUUGGACAAUGGGGGCAACCCUGAUCCAGCCAUGCCGCGUGAGUGAUGAAGGCCUUCGGGUUGUAAAGCCCUUUCGGCGGGGACGAUGAUGACGGUACCCGCAGAAGAAGCCCCGGCUAACUUCGUGCCAGCAGCCGCGGUAAUACGAAGGGGGCUAGCGUUGCUCGGAAUCACUGGGCGUAAAGGGCGCGUAGGCGGCUCUGUUAGUCAGGCGUGAAAUUCCUGGGCUCAACCUGGGGACUGCGCUUGAUACGGCGGGGCUUGAGGAUGGAAGAGGGUCGUGGAAUUCCCAGUGUAGAGGUGAAAUUCGUAGAUAUUGGGAAGAACACCGGUGGCGAAGGCGGCGACCUGGUCCAUUACUGACGCUGAGGCGCGACAGCGUGGGGAGCAAA